Molecule: ribosomal RNA, 425 nt
Filed under: uncultured bacterium
Lineage: Bacteria
Description: partial 16S ribosomal RNA
Rfam family: Bacterial small subunit ribosomal RNA
Source: RNAcentral
GUGGGGAAUAUUGGACAAUGGGCGCAAGCCUGAUCCAGCCAUGCCGCGUGAGUGAUGAAGGCCCUAGGGUUGUAAAGCUCUUUCACCGGUGAAGAUAAUGACGGUAACCGGAGAAGAAGCCCCGGCUAACUUCGUGCCAGCAGCCGCGGUAAUACGAAGGGGGCUAGCGUUGUUCGGAAUUACUGGGCGUAAAGCGCACGUAGGCGGACUGGUCAGUUAGGGGUGAAAUCCCAGGGCUCAACCCUGGAACUGCCUUUAAUACUGCCAGUCUAGAGUUCGAGAGAGGUGAGUGGAAUUCCGAGUGUAGAGGUGAAAUUCGUAGAUAUUCGGAGGAACACCAGUGGCGAAGGCGGCUCACUGGCUCGAUACUGACGCUGAGGUGCGAAAGCGUGGGGAGCAAACAGGAUUAGAAACCCCAGUAGUCC